AUCGAUGAAGAACGCAGCGAAAUGCGAUAAGUAAUGUGAAUUGCAGAAUUCAGUGAAUCAUCGAAUCUUUGAACGCACAUUGCGCCCCUUGGUAUUCCGGGGGGCAUGCCUGUUCGAGCGUCAUUACACCAAUCAAGCACCGCUUGGUAUUAGGUCUCUUCGCCUCCCCUGCCCUCACCGGCGGGAGGCGGGCCUCAAACACUUCGGCGGGGCCUCUUGGGCUUUGGGCGUAGCAGAAUUUAUCUAAAACGUCCUUGGGUCUCUCGAGUCUCCUGCCGCUUGAAACCGAAUCGGAACACCCCGCGCGAGCGGGAAUUCCCCUUCACUUUUUCAAAGGUUGACCUCGGAUCAGGUAGGAAUACCCGCUGAACUUAAGCAUAUCAAUAAGCGGAGGAAAAGAAACCAACAGGGAUUGCCUCAGUAACGGCGAGUGAAGCGGCAACAGCUCAAAUUUGAAAUCUGGCCCUUUCAGGGUCCGAGUUGUAAUUUGUAGAGGAUGCUUUUGGGCAGCCACCGGUCUAAGUUCCUUGGAACAGGACGUCACAGAGGGUGAGAAUCCCGUACGUGACCGGCAGGCACCCUCCGUAAAGCUCCUUCGACGAGUCGGGUUGUUUGGGAAUGCAGCCCUAAAUUGGAGGUAAAUUUCUUCUAAAGCUAAAUACCGGCCAGAGACCGAUAGCGCACAAGUAGAGUGAUCGAAAGAUGAAAAGCACUUUGGAAAGAGAGUUAAAAAGCACGUGAAAUUGUUGAAAGGGAAGCGCUUGCAAUCAGUCUCGACGGCGUUUGUUCAGCCGGUCUUCUGACCGGUCACUCAUUCGCCGCCGGGCCAGCAUCAGUUUUGGCGGCCGGAUAAAGGCUGCGGGAAUGUGGCUCCCUCGGGAGUGUUAUAGCCCGCGGUGUAAUACGGUCAGCCGGGACUGAGGUCCGCGCUUCGGCUAGGAUGCUGGCAAAAUGGUUGUAAGCGGCCCGUCUUGAAACACGG
RNAcentral lists this ribosomal RNA (982 nucleotides) under uncultured Ascomycota. RNAcentral's name for it is "eukaryotic LSU rRNA". The stretch from base 339 to 982 matches the Rfam family "Eukaryotic large subunit ribosomal RNA", at positions 1 to 664 of the family's 3401-position model. The record is from RNAcentral. Lineage: Eukaryota; Fungi; Ascomycota.